Molecule: transfer RNA, 102 nt
Filed under: Aquimonas sp.
Lineage: Bacteria; Pseudomonadati; Pseudomonadota; Gammaproteobacteria; Lysobacterales; Lysobacteraceae
Also listed under: 2 other names
Description: tRNA-Ile
Rfam family: tRNA
About the family: Transfer RNA (tRNA) molecules are approximately 80 nucleotides in length. Their secondary structure includes four short double-helical elements and three loops (D, anti-codon, and T loops).
Source: RNAcentral
GCCCCUGUAGCUGAUGUUGGUCCAAGCGCCGGCCUUAUACCCCGGUUCAGCGCCCGCCAGAUAAGCGGGUGUACGUCGGUUCGAUUCCGACCAGGGGCACCA